Molecule: microRNA, 22 nt
Filed under: Cordylochernes scorpioides
Lineage: Eukaryota; Metazoa; Arthropoda; Arachnida; Pseudoscorpiones; Chernetidae
Source: RNAcentral
GCUUGUCGCGAUGGAUCAGGAG